CUGAUGGGGCAGAUGAAAGCACAGGAAAUAGUCUGUUGCCCAAUUCUGGGCAGACGCCUGGACAUCUCCAAGGACCAGAGUCUAUGGACCUCAGUAUUCAGGGGUUCGUGAAGGGUGGGGUCCACAGAAGUCUCUUCCAGUGGGUGAAGCAGAUCUGAUUGCCUCUCUCGGCCCUGCCUCUCCCUAACUGUUUCCCUGGGUAAGUCACGUGGCAUCUGAAUGGGUUUUUGCGUCAGCAGCAUGUGAGGAUGACUCCUCCCUCUUGGGCUGUGAGCCCCGCCCCAAAGCAGGUAGAUGAUGUUCCUAACACAAAGCUGGGGGAGGAAGUGGUUUGAAUCCCACAUCUUGAUUUACUGAGUUGGGUAGUCGCUCUUCGAAGUGUCUUCCUCAGCUUGGGGCCAGCCCAGACCAAAUGUGGUUUCCUCUGUGUGUGUGCACGUGCGUGUGUGCGGGCAAGUGUGCGUGUGUCUUAGCUACUCGCCUUUCAUGGACCUAGGGUUCAUGGCCACCUGAGGAGCCUAGGACUCCCUCUCAGACCUGCCCAACAUGCCAAGAUGUUUUGGGACCCAGAUAGACACUCAUAGACCUGGCAAACACCUGGAGAGAAGGAGGGGGCCAGCUAACACCCCCUUGUCCAGAUGGCAGUUGGAGUCAAUGAAGCUCAGAGGAGUGAGUGACUCACCAGGACCGCAUAGCAAGACGGCAGCUGAUGGCAGAUCAGGGCUCCUGCCUGCCUUUUUAAAACAAUCAUCUUAUCAAGAUUUAAUGUACAUAUACUUUUUAAAAAAUAUAUACAUAUGUUCCUAACAUGUGGGACAUACAGUAUAAAGAUUUCAUACUGGAUAAAUGAUGCUCAUUAAG
This is a long non-coding RNA of Cervus elaphus (red deer), 861 nucleotides long. RefSeq lists it as uncharacterized. The transcript is spliced from 2 exons. Lineage: Eukaryota; Metazoa; Chordata; Mammalia; Artiodactyla; Cervidae. The record is from RefSeq and is a predicted model, not a curated record.